GGUUUAGGAUUUGGGGUUUAUGGUUUAGAGUUUAGGGUUUAGGGUUUAGGGUUUAGAGUUUAGGAUUUACGGUUUAGGGUUUAGAGUUUAGGGUUUAGGGUUUAGAGUUUAGGAUUUAGAGUUUAUGGUUUAGGGUUUAGAGUUGAGAAAUGGGGUUUUGGGGAUAAGAUUUCAAAUUUUGAAAAAUAAAAAAAUUAAAAUUUUCAAAAGAUAAAAUGCUAUUUUGGUCGUUUUAGUUUUUGAGUGCUAUUUUUGUGAUAUAAACUUAGAAAUGUGCUAUUUUGGAGAUUUGCCCAAGAACGUAUUGCUUUCAACCCUCUUGUGCAAUUGCAAACACGGAAGCUCCUGAACUUUCUGGCCAGGCAUAUCUUCCAACUUACUAAUUGCCCAAAUUGAGCUGCAGCGAGAUGAGCGUAUCGUACUAGAGCCACUGAGUACAAACACGCAAAAAGAGGACACACUGAAUAUUGAGCGGUGUGUGUCUUUAGAUAGUAAAGACUAAACAUGAAGGAAGAGGAGUUUGCAUUUUAUAAUAGAAGUGUUACCAAUUGAGGUUGCAGUUGUGCUCUGUUGGUUACUGAACCGAUGAUUAAGGAAGAUAAGAUCUUAGUAAUAGUUCUAAGUAUUUGUUUUUGUAAGUGAAAUUGUGGAUUAUUGAGUAGAGAGGACUUACACAUAGGAGAGAGAGUAGAUAUACAUUAUAUUGAGCCGGUCUUGAAGUUCCCUUAGAGAUCACCAAAGGAAGCAUAGAAGUAGAGUGAAAUUUAUCCUCAAGAGUACGUGAACCAAUGACCUCUGAACUUACUAUAAUUCCUGCAUGAGCACACAUGUAGAUUGUAGAACCAUGUCAAACCAUAAAAAAGAGUAAAAGCCCCCCUGCCUAUCUAUCCACAAGAGUUAAUAUAGUGACGAAAGGAAACAUUUGCAGACAAAUUACCUUGUUGUUAAAGUUCCACCGACCGCUGCGAGGUAAAAUAUCCGUGUUCUUUCCAAACCACAGAUUCUUUCGUUUCAAAGAUUCACACCGUCUUUCCUUUCAAGAUCUCUAUGCCAUGUUGCACAUAUUCUUUAGAGAGUGGGUGAGAGAUUUUGCGAACUAGGCUUCGUUUCAAGCCCAUUUAAUUCAGGUUAAAAGCCUAUUAAAUCUGUCUCGGGGUUUUCCAUUAAAGCUGAAUUAAAAACGAGACUGAUAUAAUAUUUUAAUAAAACAGAUAGAUUCAUAAAUUCAUGAAAAAUCUUGCUGGUCCAGUGGUUUAAUCGCUGCUGAGUAUGUCAUUUUGCAAAUGUUGAAGGGUCCUUGAAGUGUUCUUUUCUUUAUAAAAAUCUAUGUAUUAUAUAUAGU
Molecule: long non-coding RNA, 1342 nt
Filed under: Brassica napus (rape)
Lineage: Eukaryota; Viridiplantae; Streptophyta; Magnoliopsida; Brassicales; Brassicaceae
Description: long non-coding RNA (BNAP_LNC024247)
Source: RNAcentral